GACGAACGCUGGCGGCGUGCUUAACACAUGCAAGUCGAACGAAGAGCGAUGGAAGCUUGCUUCUAUCAAUCUUAGUGGCGAACGGGUGAGUAACGCGUAAUCAACCUGCCCUUCAGAGGGGGACAACAGUUGGAAACGACUGCUAAUACCGCAUACGAUCUAAUCUCGGCAUCGAGGAUAGAUGAAAGGUGGCCUCUACAUGUAAGCUAUCACUGAAGGAGGGGAUUGCGUCUGAUUAGCUAGUUGGAGUGGUAACGGCCCACCAAGGCGAUGAUCAGUAGCCGGUCUGAGAGGAUGAACGGCCACAUUGGGACUGAGACACGGCCCAGACUCCUACGGGAGGCAGCAGUGGGGAAUCUUCCGCAAUGGACGAAAGUCUGACGGAGCAACGCCGCGUGAGUGAUGACGGCCUUCGGGUUGUAAAGCUCUGUUAAUCGGGACGAAAGGCCUUCUUGCGAAUAGUGAGAAGGAUUGACGGUACCGGAAUAGAAAGCCACGGCUAACUACGUG
RNAcentral lists this ribosomal RNA (510 nucleotides) under uncultured bacterium. RNAcentral's name for it is "partial 16S ribosomal RNA". It matches the Rfam family "Bacterial small subunit ribosomal RNA", at positions 28 to 507 of the family's 1533-position model. The record is from RNAcentral.